GGGAAACGGGUUGAGGGGCCAGCCCCAGGCCCCGAUAACGAUUGGGGCA
This is a non-coding RNA of Bos taurus (domestic cattle), 49 nucleotides long. NCBI's taxonomy places the organism in Eukaryota, Metazoa, Chordata, Mammalia, Artiodactyla, Bovidae. The record is from Rfam.